AAAAAUUUGAAAAACGGCACAGAAGACUGCUGCUAUCAUUUCACUCUCUCUUGCUUCGGCUCAGUCUCUGUCUCGAAGCGGACACCGUAACGGUUCGCCUUCCCAUUUCGGCGACACCGGAGAUCUUAGCGAAUCAUCGGCGGUUUCUUGAUCUCUAGACCUUUUUCUCCCUGUUUGGCUGUUUCAGUGCUCUGGACUAACUCUCUUUUUUGUUUUCCUGUUUUUUCCAUAUCAAUAAUAUUAUCAUCAAGAGGCAAACAAAAUGAUUGGAUCAUUUCUUACAAGAGGACUUGUGAUGGUUUUUGGCUAUGCUUAUCCUGCUUAUGAGUGCUAUAAGAC
This 339-nucleotide unclassified non-coding RNA is filed under the name Hevea brasiliensis (rubber tree). Lineage: Eukaryota; Viridiplantae; Streptophyta; Magnoliopsida; Malpighiales; Euphorbiaceae. The record is from RNAcentral.